RNAcentral lists this small RNA (672 nucleotides) under Pan troglodytes (chimpanzee). Its description in RNAcentral is "retained intron". The record is from RNAcentral. Lineage: Eukaryota; Metazoa; Chordata; Mammalia; Primates; Hominidae.
GAUCCACUCCAAGUCACACACCGAGACCAAGCCCCACAAGUGCCCACAUUGCUCCAAGACCUUCGCCAACAGCUCCUACCUGGCCCAGCACAUCCGUAUCCACUCAGGGGCUAAGCCCUACAGUUGUAACUUCUGUGAGAAAUCCUUCCGCCAGCUCUCCCACCUUCAGCAGCACACCCGGAUCCACUCCAAGAUGCACACGGAGACCAUCAAGCCCCACAAGUGCCCGCACUGCUCCAAGACCUUCGCCAACACCUCCUACCUGGCCCAGCACCUCCGUAUCCACUCGGGGGCCAAGCCCUACAACUGUUCCUACUGCCAGAAGGCCUUCCGCCAGCUCUCCCACCUCCAGCAGCACACACGGUAAGGGAGAGUGGCGGGCUACUGACCCCGCCCCGCUGGCAUGCCCUCCCCACCCCCGCCCCGGACACACACAACAACCCGCAUGCGGGGGGCGGGGGAGAGACCUGGCUGGAGGAGAGACCUGGCUGGCAUCUGGGAGAAGGAAGACCAAACGACAUUGGAGAUUCAAGUGGACACAGAGCUUCUCUGGGGCAAGAGCUACGUCGGGGAGCUGCAGUGACUAUAUGAUAUUCACUGAUCCAUGGGAGACAGACACGUACCUGGAGUGGAAACAACUUUUCUCUAAUUUUCCUCCCUGAAAAUACUCAU